This 65-nucleotide microRNA precursor is filed under the name Pongo abelii (Sumatran orangutan). RNAcentral's name for it is "miRNA". Lineage: Eukaryota; Metazoa; Chordata; Mammalia; Primates; Hominidae. The record is from RNAcentral.
CAGUGGCAAUCAUGUAUAUUAAAAAUGAUUGGUACGUCUGCGGGUAGAGUACUGCAUGACACAUG